UGCGACCUCAGGUCGGCGGGGCUA
RNAcentral lists this ribosomal RNA (24 nucleotides) under Spyridium gunnii. Its description in RNAcentral is "partial 26S ribosomal RNA". The record is from RNAcentral. Lineage: Eukaryota; Viridiplantae; Streptophyta; Magnoliopsida; Rosales; Rhamnaceae.